GGGCCAGCUGCCACUAGCACUGACGGGAUAUGCACUUAUAGCAUCAGCUGCAGCAAAGUCAGAAAGCGUUGCUCAUUUCAGAUUUUUCGCUUUGUCGUUUUUCUCUUUUUCUCUUUUUCUUUUCUCUUUUGCAUUUAAUAUGCUUGAGUAUUUGUUUCGCUGGGAUCAAAUGAAGGGAAGUUGUUAAAAACAAAAGGUUUUAUGUUUUUCAUUUUGCAACCCUGCACCUUCUUUGUCAGCCCAGAAUUUAAUGUAAACUUUAUUACUAGCGUUGGAGCUACUUUUAUUUUUGCUAUUUUCAAAUUUGUUAAAGUUUGUUGUUGGUUUACUUAUAUUUUGGGGUUAGAGGUUUUUUGUAGUUUAAUACGUGCUUCAUUUUUUGUUUUGUUGUUUGUUGUUUACCUUGUUAAGUCAGGAAGAACUGUUGGGCCAUUUUAUAUAGGGCUUUGGAGUUGACGUCACGCCGCAAUGCAUUGUGGGAGCGCAGCGCCAUUUUCGGGGUCUACGAAUCAAAAAAACACACUGUGUUGGAACGACGACUACAAGAAAGAUGCUUAAAAGCAGCUCAAAAGAGAGUGAACUGUAUAGAGACCGAUUGCGUCCAGAGGCGAAGCAGCGGUACUUGCAGAAAAUAGCGUGCAUUGGAAAUGUGGACCCGUAUGAAAUACAGCCGUGGAGUAGAAACCCCGAACACCUAGCGCUACUGACGUAACCUGACAUAUUUUCGUACCUUGUCUGUGGAGUCAGCGCGUACAAGUCGUCAUUCAAACAAAGGUACUGCACUCUCAAAGACUGAAUGAACCAGCAUUGCAGCCAUGGGUCACUGUGAGCAUCACAGGGAAGGUUGAAGUCGCCCACUGCAGCUGUAUGGCCGGAGUCGCAGAGAACUGCAGCCAUGUCGCUGCUCUUCUGUUUAAAGUAGAAGCAACAGUCGUGGCACAAGGACUGUUACAGAUGAACCUGCUUACUGGGUUUUGCUGGGUAAUGUGACCAAGAUACAGCCAGAGGUUGGCCAUAAGAUAGACUUCUCCUCUUCAGCUGCCCAAAAAAAGGCUCUUGAUCAAAACAUAAACAGACCAUCCGUAGUGACAAGUAAAAGAAGCCGUCCUCAAAAAAGUAAAAUCCCACCUGCUACUGUGGAGGAGUCUAGAUGUAUGCCUGUAGUGCACUGCCGUGUAAAUAAUUUGCAUUUACUGAAUAUGUACUGACUGAGUCCCACUGUUCAAAAGUUGAAUAAAGAAACAAACUCAUUUUUGCCUCUUUUUAUUUUAUUUUAUUAAAACCACCUUAUAGAGCAU
Astatotilapia calliptera (eastern happy) is the source of this 1298-nucleotide long non-coding RNA. The record is from Ensembl. Lineage: Eukaryota; Metazoa; Chordata; Actinopteri; Cichliformes; Cichlidae.